This 460-nucleotide ribosomal RNA is filed under the name uncultured bacterium. RNAcentral's name for it is "partial 16S ribosomal RNA". It matches the Rfam family "Bacterial small subunit ribosomal RNA", at positions 338 to 795 of the family's 1533-position model. The record is from RNAcentral.
CCUACGGGUGGCUGCAGUGAGGAAUAUUGGUCAAUGGGCGGGAGCCUGAACCAGCCAAGUCGCGUGAGGGAAGACGGUCCUAUGGAUUGUAAACCUCUUUAGGCGGGGAGCAAUGCCGGGCACGCGUGCCCGGAGGGAGAGUACCCGCAGAAUAAGCAUCGGCAAACUCCGUGCCAGCAGCCGCGGUAAUACGGGGGAUGCGAGCGUUAUCCGGAUUUAUUGGGUUUAAAGGGUGCGUAGGCGGAUUUUUAAGUCAGCGGUAAAAUGUCCGGGCUCAAGCCGGGCCGGCCGUUGAAACUGGUGAUCUUGAGUGGGCGAGAAGUAUGCGGAAUGCGUGGUGUAGCGGUGAAAUGCAUAGAUAUCACGCAGAACUCCGAUUGCGAAGGCAGCAUACCGGCGCCCUACUGACGCUGAGGCACGAAAGCGUGGGUAUCGAACAGGAUUAGAUACCCUUGUAGUC